GAUCAAUCACGCCUGUGUGAUGAAACUCCCAUACCAACCUCUAAAUGACAGGGUCUGGAAAGCUGCCCAGUUGGUGCACACGCCAAAGAUGCUGGGACUUGAGCUCAGCAUCUAAGAUGGAGGGCUCGCAUUUCAACAUCGGUCUCCAGCAGAUUCACCAGGCACUGUAAGCCACACAAGAGGAAAAAGUAGAGAAACUUCUCAAGGAGGGCAUUCAGUUUCACCCAGACAAUAUUGGCUUCCUGGGACCAUGCUGCCCAAGACGGAUGGACCCACGGAAGCAGAUGAUGCCUCUUGAGUUAUUCAGUGAAGUACUUGUAUGCUGUCAUUUAAACCUAUGUUUCAUCAACCAGUACAAGCCAUAUGGCCAAAGCCAGCACCAAUGAUGUAGAAGAGCUCUGCCUACUAUAGUUGGUGUUACUAAAAAGUCACAUGACAAAGAAGCCGCUAAUUGGUGAGUGCCAAAUAAGACUCCUUAGGAAGCAACAGAAGCUCUUUAAAUAAGCCACUGGAAGCCACUCUUCCUUCCUUUGCUGUCAGAGAUGAGCACCUACAUCCGGGAAUUAAGCUUGAACCAGAAGGAGUCUGUCCUGUGGGCUGCUGUGAUUGGAAGUGUUCCGGGGGGGGGCCCUGUCCUGAAAUUCCUCCUCCAUGCUACCAGGCAUCUAAAAUUUGGGCUUUGGACAUGGCCCCGACGCACCCCAGUCUUUACAAUUCCAUUCAUAUCAUGCAAGUGUUUCUGUGGGCCAAUAAUGAAAGCCUUAGGGCCGUCACCACUCACUUUCCAAUCAAGGAAGACAUGGAGAGGCUCCUUUGAGAAUGUGCCAAGGGAGACGCUUUCAGAUGGGAGGAGAGCUGGAGGGUGCUGGGGAUAAAGGGAAGGAGCCAAGAAUGACAAUAAUGAUAACCAAAGCCCGAAGGCUCCGGCCCUGCCCCCUACCCCAACUCCAACCACCAUUAUUCUUCCCUUGGUUUUGUGGCCUUUCAUUUCCUGAACACACCAUCCUGUUUCCUGCUGUAGGGCACCCACCACAGCUAUUCCUGGAAUCCUCUUUCCCAAGGACUUUUCCUGCUCAUUGACCUCAUUAUGAAUGUCUCAGCUCCAAUUUCACCACCUCUGAGAAGCCUUCCUUGAUCACCCAACCUCAAAUCAUCCCUUGCUCCACAGCUACCCCAACACUCUAUUGUAUCACUCUGGAUUACUGUCUUUCUAGUACUUACACUCUGAAACAGUCCUGUCAGCCCAUAUGGUUACUUGUUUGUCUUCUAUCACUAAACUUCAUUUUACUAUGAGGCUUUUGUCUUUUACUAUGGGACUCAGUUUUGGUAAAUGCUGGGGCUGGUAUCCUCAGCCUCUUGGAAAUAUCCCAGCAUUGAUUAAACAUUCAACAAAUGCUUAUUUAUUAAAUGACUAGAUGAAAUAAGAAAACAAAUUAAAUUUUAUUACCUGAAGACAUGGACUUG
Molecule: long non-coding RNA, 1464 nt
Organism: Canis lupus familiaris (dog)
Lineage: Eukaryota; Metazoa; Chordata; Mammalia; Carnivora; Canidae
Exons: 4
Source: RefSeq, a predicted model, not a curated record